UACGUAGGGUGCGAGCGUUAAUCGGAAUUACUGGGCGUAAAGCGUGCGCAGGCGGUUUUGUAAGCCAGAUGUGAAAUCCCCGGGCUUAACCUGGGAAUGGCAUUUGGGACUGCAAGGCUUGAGUGCGGCAGAGGAGACUGGAAUUCCUGGUGUAGCAGUGAAAUGCGUAGAUAUCAGGAGGAACACCGAUGGCGAAGGCAGGUCUCUGGGCUGACACUGACGCUCAUGCACGAAAGCGUGGGGAGCAAACGAGGAUUACGAAACCC
Molecule: ribosomal RNA, 266 nt
Filed under: uncultured bacterium
Lineage: Bacteria
Description: partial 16S ribosomal RNA
Rfam family: Bacterial small subunit ribosomal RNA
Source: RNAcentral